Molecule: long non-coding RNA, 1514 nt
Filed under: Cyanistes caeruleus (blue tit)
Lineage: Eukaryota; Metazoa; Chordata; Aves; Passeriformes; Paridae
Description: lncRNA (ENSCCEG00000014380.1)
Source: RNAcentral
UUUUUUUUUUAUUUCAGUGAGAGAAAUGGAACAGGAGUAAGGUCCCUAAUGUUAUGUUAAACUGCACUGAAUUAGCCGAGGCAGAAAAAUCUCAACUCCGGUAAAAUGUCAGGUAUUUAGGAUUUUUAAAUGUUUAUUUCUAUAUUUCCUUACAUGAGCUGCUUUGUUUCUUUGUUUUUUCACAGUAAAUAAGUUUUUCUCACUUUUCCAGAUAAUUAACCUUUCUGCUUCAAAGCCAAGGGUGAGGAUGUGGGGGCUGAUACUCCAGGGGACAGCUUGGGGAUGGACAGCCAAACAGGGUGCAAGUGGAAAACCCUGCUCUGUGGCACUGACAGAGGUGAUUUCCUUCUGUUUUGCUCCUGGACACAAGUUGAAUCUAGCUGUAAGAGAAGGUGGGGCACUCCUCAUGUGCUGCGUGCCAAUUCCCUCCAGCUCUCAGUCUUUGCACUCCAGGAGGGGCUGGGGUUCACUGGAAGCACACAGGGCUCUGGGGGGCUCUUUCAGUGACUGCUGAAGAAAGCAGGUGGUGGCUUAGAAGAGGGAGAACAGAUGGUCUGAGGAGGGUGUUCCUACACCAGGCUGGAGAAAUCAUCUCUUCCCUUCACCUCCCUCAUGCAAGCUGCACAAAGUAUGUGGCAAACUACUCACAGUAGGCAGCUUUUUGGUGUAUUCCUCACUUUUUUCUGUGCACAGUAUGAGACACUCAUUUAUUUUACUGUGAUACGUUGCCACCACACUUUAUAGAACCUGAGUACCAAAGUGAAGUCCCUGGACAUCAAUGAUCAUUUACUUUUUGCUCUCUUGUCUCUCCUGUCCCUUCAUGGGUCUGCUGAACAGGUGUGUACAGGUGUACCUCAGGUGGGAAAGAGGGGAGAGGUGGGAGAUAUCCAUUGGCUGUGCUGCAGCAGGGAUGUAAGGGCACAAACUGCAUUAAUACUUCAGAUUUCCUGGUGUCUGAGUGCUCACAGGCAGUGCAAAGUCUUUAUGUUCAAACCACAAAGUCAGCUUGGUGCUUAGAAACAUGGAACAUUCAGAAAAAUCUCAAGCUGAGCACUCUUAGUAAUUGGUAAAGUAGCAAUUUUGACCUUCAUGUCCUAGUUUCUCAUUUUUUUCAGCUUUCCAAAAGAGAUAAUGUCACCAGGUCUCUCAGGGAGUCAUGCAGGUGGGCUCCUCAAUGCUGGGAACCUGCUCAGCGGCUGCAAAGAGUAAUUGGUCUGAAUGAGUCAUGAAAAUUGAGGUGUUGAUGUAGUUGAAGAUAUCCUUAAUGCUGCUGAUUUACCUGUGCAGUACUUGGUUUUACAGUCCUGUUUAUAGUUUCAAAUAUAUAAACUGUUCCUUAUCAGUCCAUGAGAAAUAAGAAGGAAAAGAUCAUCAGUCCAAAAGAUUGCAGUUUCAUGGCUUGAUCCUAAUUGACUCAGUUAAAGUAAUUUGAAAGAUUUUCUAUCUUUAAUGUCAGUUACAUCUCAAAUGAGACACGGCAGAAUGGUGGGCUGAAAGCUUCUGUAGAAAGGAGA